UGGUGGAGUGAUUUGUCUGGUUAAUUCCGAUAACGAACGAGACUAGAGCUUACUUAAUAGAUUGCAGAAUUCCAAAAGAGUGAAGCGUAUCAGGUUUGCGGGGUUUACUCCGUAGGCUUGGUGCGUGGAUCUCGGGCUAAUUUUGCAAGGCUUCUUAGAAGGACUAUCGGCGGUAAGUCGAAGGAGGUUUCUAGCAAUAACA
This 202-nucleotide ribosomal RNA is filed under the name uncultured eukaryote. RNAcentral describes it as "partial 18S ribosomal RNA". It matches the Rfam family "Eukaryotic small subunit ribosomal RNA", at positions 1299 to 1458 of the family's 1831-position model. The record is from RNAcentral.